Molecule: ribosomal RNA, 395 nt
Filed under: uncultured bacterium
Lineage: Bacteria
Description: bacterial SSU rRNA
Rfam family: Bacterial small subunit ribosomal RNA
Source: RNAcentral
GUGUCAGCAGCCGCGGUAAGACGGAGGAUGCAAGUGUUAUCCGGAAUCACUGGGCGUAAAGCGUCUGUAGGUGGUUUAAUAAGUCAACUGUUAAAUCUCGAGGCUCAACCUCGAAAUCGCAGUCGAAACUAUUAGACUAGAGUAUAGUAGGGGUAAAGGGAAUUUCCAGUGGAGCGGUGAAAUGCGUAGAGAUUGGAAAGAACACCGAUGGCGAAGGCACUUUACUGGGCUAUUACUAACACUGAGAGACGAAAGCUAGGGUAGCAAAUGGGAUUAGAUACCCCAGUAGUCCUAGCUGUAAACAAUGGAUACUAGAUGUUGAACAGAUCGACCUGUGCAGUAUUAAAGCUAACGCGUUAAGUAUCCCGCCUGGGAAGUAUGCUCGCAAGAGUGAA